Molecule: RNA transcript, 534 nt
Organism: Otolemur garnettii (small-eared galago)
Lineage: Eukaryota; Metazoa; Chordata; Mammalia; Primates; Galagidae
Gene name: mRNA turnover protein 4 homolog pseudogene
Exons: 2
Source: RefSeq, a predicted model, not a curated record
GUCUUCAGCGCGAUGCCCAAAUCCAAACGUGAUAAGAAAGUUUCCUUAACCAAAACUGCCAAGAAAGGCUUGGAACUGAAGCAGAACCUGAUAGAAGAGCUUCGGAAAUGUGUGGACACCUACAAGUACCUUUUUAUCUUCUCUGUGGCCAACAUGAGGAACAGCAAACUGAAGGACAUCCGGAAUGCCUGGAAGCACAGCCGGAUGUUCUUUGGCAAAAACAAAGUGAUGAUGGUGGCCUUGGGUCGGAGCCCAUCUGAUGAGUACAAAGACAACCUGCAUCAGGUCAGCAAGAAGUUAAGGGGUGAAGUUGGUCUCCUUUUCACCAACCGCUCGAAGGAAGAAGUAAAUGAGUGGUUCACAAAAUACACAGAAAUGGACUAUGCCCGCGCCGGUAACAAAGCCACUUUCACUGUGAGCCUGGAUCCAGGGCCCCUGGAGCAGUUUCCCCACUCCAUGGAGCCACAGCUGAGGCAGCUGGGCACCACGAGCUCAGUGGGAGAAGAGAAGGAGGAUUUUGAAGCCUUUCGAUGA